This 1551-nucleotide ribosomal RNA is filed under the name Salmonella enterica subsp. enterica serovar Worthington. RNAcentral describes it as "bacterial SSU rRNA". It matches the Rfam family "Bacterial small subunit ribosomal RNA". Lineage: Bacteria; Pseudomonadati; Pseudomonadota; Gammaproteobacteria; Enterobacterales; Enterobacteriaceae. The record is from RNAcentral.
AAAUUGAAGAGUUUGAUCAUGGCUCAGAUUGAACGCUGGCGGCAGGCCUAACACAUGCAAGUCGAACGGUAACAGGAAGCAGCUUGCUGCUUUGCUGACGAGUGGCGGACGGGUGAGUAAUGUCUGGGAAACUGCCUGAUGGAGGGGGAUAACUACUGGAAACGGUGGCUAAUACCGCAUAACGUCGCAAGACCAAAGAGGGGGACCUUCGGGCCUCUUGCCAUCAGAUGUGCCCAGAUGGGAUUAGCUUGUUGGUGAGGUAACGGCUCACCAAGGCGACGAUCCCUAGCUGGUCUGAGAGGAUGACCAGCCACACUGGAACUGAGACACGGUCCAGACUCCUACGGGAGGCAGCAGUGGGGAAUAUUGCACAAUGGGCGCAAGCCUGAUGCAGCCAUGCCGCGUGUAUGAAGAAGGCCUUCGGGUUGUAAAGUACUUUCAGCGGGGAGGAAGGUGUUGUGGUUAAUAACCACAGCAAUUGACGUUACCCGCAGAAGAAGCACCGGCUAACUCCGUGCCAGCAGCCGCGGUAAUACGGAGGGUGCAAGCGUUAAUCGGAAUUACUGGGCGUAAAGCGCACGCAGGCGGUCUGUCAAGUCGGAUGUGAAAUCCCCGGGCUCAACCGGGAACUGCAUUCGAAACUGGCAGGCUUGAGUCUUGUAGAGGGGGGUAGAAUUCCAGGUGUAGCGGUGAAAUGCGUAGAGAUCUGGAGGAAUACCGGUGGCGAAGGCGGCCCCCUGGACAAAGACUGACGCUCAGGUGCGAAAGCGUGGGGAGCAAACAGGAUUAGAUACCCUGGUAGUCCACGUCGUAAACGAUGUCUACUUGGAGGUUGUGCCCUUGAGGCGUGGCUUCCGGAGCUAACGCGUUAAGUAGACCGCCUGGGGAGUACGGCCGCAAGGUUAAAACUCAAAUGAAUUGACGGGGGCCCGCACAAGCGGUGGAGCAUGUGGUUUAAUUCGAUGCAACGCGAAGAACCUUACCUGGUCUUGACAUCCACGGAAGUUUUCAGAGAUGAGAAUGUGCCUUCGGGAACCGUGAGACAGGUGCUGCAUGGCUGUCGUCAGCUCGUGUUGUGAAAUGUUGGGUUAAGUCCCGCAACGAGCGCAACCCUUAUCCUUUGUUGCCAGCGGUUAGGCCGGGAACUCAAAGGAGACUGCCAGUGAUAAACUGGAGGAAGGUGGGGAUGACGUCAAGUCAUCAUGGCCCUUACGACCAGGGCUACACACGUGCUACAAUGGCGCAUACAAAGAGAAGCGACCUCGCGAGAGCAAGCGGACCUCAUAAAGUGCGUCGUAGUCCGGAUUGGAGUCUGCAACUCGACUCCAUGAAGUCGGAAUCGCUAGUAAUCGUGGAUCAGAAUGCCACGGUGAAUACGUUCCCGGGCCUUGUACACACCGCCCGUCACACCAUGGGAGUGGGUUGCAAAAGAAGUAGGUAGCUUAACCUUCGGGAGGGCGCUUACCACUUUGUGAUUCAUGACUGGGGUGAAGUCGUAACAAGGUAACCGUAGGGGAACCUGCGGUUGGAUCACCUCCUUACCUUAAAGAA